RNAcentral lists this ribosomal RNA (273 nucleotides) under uncultured bacterium. RNAcentral's name for it is "partial 16S ribosomal RNA". It matches the Rfam family "Bacterial small subunit ribosomal RNA", at positions 85 to 354 of the family's 1533-position model. The record is from RNAcentral.
CCGCCGGCGACCGGCGCACGGGUGAGUAACACGUAUGCAACCUGCCCGUGGCAGGGGGAUAAGCGGGGGAAACCCCGUCUAAUACCGCGUAACGCGGCCUUGGGGCAUCCCAAGGCCGCCAAAGGGAGCAAUCCCGGCCACGGAUGGGCAUGCGGCGCAUUAGCUAGUCGGCGGGGUAACGGCCCACCGAGGCGACGAUGCGUAGGGGUUCUGAGAGGAAGGCCCCCCACACUGGUACUGAGACACGGACCAGACUCCUACGGGAGGCAGCAG